This is a non-coding RNA of Cucurbita pepo subsp. pepo (vegetable marrow), 512 nucleotides long. The record is from RefSeq and is a predicted model, not a curated record. NCBI's taxonomy places the organism in Eukaryota, Viridiplantae, Streptophyta, Magnoliopsida, Cucurbitales, Cucurbitaceae.
CUUGCCUCUGUGAACUUAGAGGGUCUUAACCAGCAGCAGAAGCUUGCCUUUUGGAUUAACACCUAUAAUUCUUGCAUAAUGAAUGCACUUUUGGAGCAUGGAAUACCAGAGACUCCAGAAAGGGUUGUAGCUCUAAUGCAAAAGGCCGAAAUAGUCAUUGGGGGAUGCAUACUCAAUGCAAUGACAAUAGAGCAAUUCAUCUUGCGACUAUCUUAACACCUGAAGUUUAUGCGUUCGAAGGCUGUCGUCGAAAGUUACGAAGCUGGUCGUCUCCUCCUGUAAGUUCGCAAUUUAAGGGUACAUUCGAAUAACCAGCUCUGAAGACGACUAUUUUCCGUUCAUUGAAUGCAUUGUAUGAAUGAAAGGAAGGUUGAGAGUAUACAUAGGAAGUCAUGUGGAGGAAGAGUUGGAAGAGUUUGUUUCAAGUCAUUCCUAAGAUUUGCUUUUAAACAAGUUGGAUUCAUGAAGUUGAAAAUGCUGUUCAGAGUGUAUAGAUAGAUACAUGUGAAUGA